CGAGCGAACAGAUGAGGAGCUUGCUCCUCUGACGUUAGCGGCGGACGGGUGAGUAACACGUGGAUAACCUACCUAUAAGACUGGGAUAACUUCGGGAAACCGGAGCUAAUACCGGAUAAUAUAUUGAACCGCAUGGUUCAAUAGUGAAAGACGGUUUUGCUGUCACUUAUAGAUGGAUCCGCGCCGCAUUAGCUAGUUGGUAAGGUAACGGCUUACCAAGGCAACGAUGCGUAGCCGACCUGAGAGGGUGAUCGGCCACACUGGAACUGAGACACGGUCCAGACUCCUACGGGAGGCAGCAGUAGGGAAUCUUCCGCAAUGGGCGAAAGCCUGACGGAGCAACGCCGCGUGAGUGAUGAAGGUCUUCGGAUCGUAAAACUCUGUUAUUAGGGAAGAACAAAUGUGUAAGUAACUAUGCACGUCUUGACGGUACCUAAUCAGAAAGCCACGGCUAACUACGUGCCAGCAGCCGCGGUAAUACGUAGGUGGCAAGCGUUAUCCGGAAUUAUUGGGCGUAAAGCGCGCGUAGGCGGUUUUUUAAGUCUGAUGUGAAAGCCCACGGCUCAACCGUGGAGGGUCAUUGGAAACUGGAAAACUUGAGUGCAGAAGAGGAAAGUGGAAUUCCAUGUGUAGCGGUGAAAUGCGCAGAGAUAUGGAGGAACACCAGUGGCGAAGGCGACUUUCUGGUCU
RNAcentral lists this ribosomal RNA (690 nucleotides) under uncultured Staphylococcus sp. RNAcentral's name for it is "bacterial SSU rRNA". It matches the Rfam family "Bacterial small subunit ribosomal RNA", at positions 63 to 735 of the family's 1533-position model. The record is from RNAcentral. Lineage: Bacteria; Bacillati; Bacillota; Bacilli; Caryophanales; Staphylococcaceae.